RNAcentral lists this ribosomal RNA (388 nucleotides) under Ctenophora sp. (in: diatoms). RNAcentral describes it as "Ctenophora sp. (in: Bacillariophyta) partial small subunit ribosomal RNA". It matches the Rfam family "Eukaryotic small subunit ribosomal RNA", at positions 582 to 975 of the family's 1831-position model. The record is from RNAcentral. Lineage: Eukaryota; Bacillariophyta; Fragilariophyceae; Fragilariales; Fragilariaceae.
AUUCCAGCUCCAAUAGCGUAUAUUAAAGUUGUUGCAGUUAAAAAGCUCGUAGUUGGAUUUCGGAACCGGCCGAUUGGUCCGUCCUCUGGAUCGUGUACUGAUCGGUCUGUUCUUCUUCGCGAAGACCGCGUGUGCCCUUAACUGGGUGGGCGCGGGAUUCGCGACGUUUACUUUGAAAAAAUUAGAGUGUUCAAAGCAGGCAGUCGCUUGAAUAUCUCAGCAUGGAAUAAUAGAAUAGGACUUUGGUCUUAUUUUGUUGGUUUCCGAGACCGAAGUAAUGAUUAAUAGGGACAGUUGGGGGCAUUCGUAUUUCAUUGUCAGAGGUGAAAUUCUUGGAUUUAUGAAAGACGAACUUCUGCGAAAGCAUUUGCCAAGGAUGUUUUCAUCA